This 452-nucleotide ribosomal RNA is filed under the name uncultured Sphingobium sp. RNAcentral describes it as "bacterial SSU rRNA". It matches the Rfam family "Bacterial small subunit ribosomal RNA", at positions 91 to 578 of the family's 1533-position model. The record is from RNAcentral. Lineage: Bacteria; Pseudomonadati; Pseudomonadota; Alphaproteobacteria; Sphingomonadales; Sphingobiaceae.
GAUAGUGGCGCACGGGUGCGUAACACGUGGGAAUCUGCCCUUGGGUUCGGAAUAACAGCGGGAAACUGCUGCUAAUACCGGAUGAUGACGUAAGUCCAAAGAUUUAUCGCCCAGGGAUGAGCCCGCGUAGGAUUAGCUAGUUGGUGAGGUAAAGGCUCACCAAGGCGACGAUCCUUAGCUGGUCUGAGAGGAUGAUCAGCCACACUGGGACUGAGACACGGCCCAGACUCCUACGGGAGGCAGCAGUAGGGAAUAUUGGACAAUGGGGGCAACCCUGAUCCAGCAAUGCCGCGUGAGUGAUGAAGGCCUUAGGGUUGUAAAGCUCUUUCAGCUGGGAAGAUAAUGACGGUACCAGCAGAAGAAGCCCCGGCUAACUCCGUGCCAGCAGCCGCGGUAAUACGGAGGGGGCUAGCGUUGUUCGGAAUUACUGGGCGUAAAGCGCACGUAGGCGG